RNAcentral lists this ribosomal RNA (497 nucleotides) under uncultured bacterium. RNAcentral's name for it is "partial 16S ribosomal RNA". It matches the Rfam family "Bacterial small subunit ribosomal RNA", at positions 28 to 507 of the family's 1533-position model. The record is from RNAcentral.
GAUGAACGCUGGCGGCGUGCCUAAUACAUGCAAGUCGAGCGAACGGACGAGAAGCUUGCUUCUCUGAUGUUAGCGGCGGACGGGUGAGUAACACGUGGAUAACCUACCUAUAAGACUGGGAUAACUUCGGGAAACCGGAGCUAAUACCGGAUAAUAUUUUGAACCGCAUGGUUCAAAAGUGAAAGACGGUCUUGCUGUCACUUAUAGAUGGAUCCGCGCUGCAUUAGCUAGUUGGUAAGGUAACGGCUUACCAAGGCAACGAUGCAUAGCCGACCUGAGAGGGUGAUCGGCCACACUGGAACUGAGACACGGCCCAGACUCCUACGGGAGGCAGCAGUAGGGAAUCUUCCGCAAUGGGCGAAAGCCUGACGGAGCAACGCCGCGUGAGUGAUGAAGGUCCUCGGAUCGUAAAACUCUGUUAUUAGGGAAGAACAUAUGUGUAAGUAACUGUGCACAUCUUGACGGUACCUAAUCAGAAAGCCACGGCUAACUACGUG